RNAcentral lists this ribosomal RNA (255 nucleotides) under uncultured bacterium. RNAcentral describes it as "partial 16S ribosomal RNA". The record is from RNAcentral.
CUGCUGCCUCCCGUAGGAGUUUGGGCCGUGUCUCAGUCCCAAUGUGGCCGUUCACCCUCUCAGGCCGGCUACUGAUCGUCGCCUUGGUGAGCCCUUACCUCACCAACCAGCUAAUCAGACGCGGGUCCAUCUCAUACCACCGGAGUUUUUCACACCGUCCCAUGCGAGACCGUGCGCUUAUGCGGUAUUAGCAGUCAUUUCUAACUGUUAUCCCCCUGUAUGAGGCAGGUUACCCACGCGUUACUCACCCGUCCG